This is a long non-coding RNA of Leptopilina boulardi, 354 nucleotides long. RefSeq lists it as uncharacterized. The record is from RefSeq and is a predicted model, not a curated record. NCBI's taxonomy places the organism in Eukaryota, Metazoa, Arthropoda, Insecta, Hymenoptera, Figitidae. The transcript is spliced from 3 exons.
AUGUGACUACUAAACUUCGUACAAACUGGGAAGCGCUUUUUUUUAGUCACAACCAAGUAAUCAUUGGACAAUGGGAUAAAGAUGCGUUGUCUGCAAAGAAAAUCACAGUGCACAUGGACUUGUCAGUGAAAGUUUACCUUAAUGACACAUUAAUCUUGCUGCCCGGAAUUAGGGAUAUUAACUCAUUUGAAGAUGUUUUUAAUAACUUAAUAUUGGUGGAAAGCGUCAAAGGGUGUCCAGGGAUGAAUAUCUGAAUCUUGCUUUGGUUAUUUUAACUCCAAAUCGAAAAGUGAAAGAUGUCUUUCAUGUAGGCUGCAACGUAGGAAAGUGUUAGAUCGUGAAGCUGCGAAAAAG